This 549-nucleotide unclassified non-coding RNA is filed under the name Hevea brasiliensis (rubber tree). The record is from RNAcentral. Lineage: Eukaryota; Viridiplantae; Streptophyta; Magnoliopsida; Malpighiales; Euphorbiaceae.
GAUUAGGAGAUCCAUGCAAGACCAUUAGAUCUCAAAAACAACCCCAAAUAAAGUUGAAACGUAGUGUGAGCCUUAGAGAACAAUUGAUUGCGCAAGGAGCCAUGGGGUGCCAAAGAUUCAGAAAACAGAGGGGGCAACGCAAACCUCUUUAGGUUUCUUGACUAUUAAGAGUCGGCCACUGUUAAGGUGGGGAAAGACUCAAGAGUUAUCGUCAAUCAAAUUAAACCAUAUUCUCCCCAAAUCUAACACCAAAAUCCAUAAAUCAAAGAAAACCCAGUACCAUCACAGCAAAACCUAAACUUUCGCUCACCAAAACAACCCAUGAUUUAAAGUUGGCUGGAGAGGCGAUGCUAGGAAGACACAACCAAGCAGAUCAACACAUACGCAUCCCUUUCAAUAAAGCUUAAAUCUGCAACUUAACAACAACAAAACAAUAUUGAAAACCCACCCGGUGGGGGGCAGGGAGACCCACUAUCUGGCAGGAGGAUGAGGAGACAUUCUCCACCCAGAUGGGGCUGAGGAGGCCGCUAACUUGGAAGUGACAAAGAG